Molecule: non-coding RNA, 147 nt
Filed under: Chlorocebus sabaeus (green monkey)
Lineage: Eukaryota; Metazoa; Chordata; Mammalia; Primates; Cercopithecidae
Source: Rfam by way of RNAcentral
GCUGGGCAUGGUGGCGCAUGCCUGUAAUCCCAGCUACUUGGGAGGCUGAGACAGGAGAAUUGCUUAAACCCAGGAGGCAGAGGUUGCAGUGGCUGAGAUCUCGGUACUGCACUCCAGCCUGGGUGACAGAGCGAGACUGCGUCUCAA